Molecule: long non-coding RNA, 201 nt
Filed under: Elaeis guineensis (African oil palm)
Lineage: Eukaryota; Viridiplantae; Streptophyta; Magnoliopsida; Arecales; Arecaceae
Description: long non-coding RNA (EGUI_LNC028880)
Source: RNAcentral
UUUUAUUUAUUUUGAUUGUAUGGUGGCUUGCUCCAGUUGGCACCAGCUCCAAUUGAGGCCAGCUCCCAGCAGAAUCUCAAAGUGAAGGAUCUUACGAUGGCAGGUGAAAAGAAAUGAAAUCACUCUGUAGUAAAGUAGUCUUUUACUGCAGAGUUGGUAGAAAUCUUACUAAUGGCAAUACCAUGCGGAGACAAUGCAGAU